UUCUGCUUCUGCUGGCGC
Molecule: unclassified non-coding RNA, 18 nt
Filed under: Chlamydomonas reinhardtii
Lineage: Eukaryota; Viridiplantae; Chlorophyta; Chlorophyceae; Chlamydomonadales; Chlamydomonadaceae
Description: small RNA Cre_3850
Source: RNAcentral